UUUGCCAGGGUUUGGAUACCUGAUCCAGAGGAAGUCUGGAAGUCAGCAGAGCUGCUCAAAGAUUAUAAGCCAGGAGAUAAAGUCCUCCUGCUUCACCUCGAGGAAGGAAAGGAUUUGGAAUACCAUCUAGAUCCAAAGACCAAGGAGCUGCCUCACUUACGAAAUCCUGACAUACUUGUUGGUGAAAAUGACCUCACAGCCCUCAGCUAUCUUCAUGAGCCUGCUGUGCUCCAUAAUCUCAGAGUCCGCUUUAUUGAUUCCAAACUUAUUUAUACGUAUUGUGGUAUAGUCCUAGUAGCUAUAAAUCCCUAUGAACAGCUGCCUAUUUAUGGAGAAGAUAUUAUUAAUGCAUACAGUGGUCAGAACAUGGGUGAUAUGGAUCCACAUAUCUUUGCAGUAGCUGAAGAAGCUUACAAGCAAAUGGCCAG
Molecule: non-coding RNA, 428 nt
Filed under: Homo sapiens (human)
Lineage: Eukaryota; Metazoa; Chordata; Mammalia; Primates; Hominidae
Source: RNAcentral